CCUACGGGCCGCAGCAGUGGGGAAUAUUGCACAAUGGGCGCAAGCCUGAUGCAGCCAUGCCGCGUGUAUGAAGAAGGCCUUCGGGUUGUAAAGUACUUUCAGCGGGGAGGAAGGUGUUGAGGUUAAUAACCUCAGCAAUUGACGUUACCCGCAGAAGAAGCACCGGCUAACUCCGUGCCAGCAGCCGCGGUAAUACGGAGGGUGCAAGCGUUAAUCGGAAUUACUGGGCGUAAAGCGCACGCAGGCGGUCUGUCAAGUCGGAUGUGAAAUCCCCGGGCUCAACCUGGGAACUGCAUUCGAAACUGGCAGGCUAGAGUCUUGUAGAGGGGGGUAGAAUUUCAGGUGUAGCGGUGAAAUGCGUAGAGAUCUGAAGGAAUACCAGUGGCGAAGGCGGCCCCCUGGACAAAGACUGACGCUCAGAUGCGAAAGCGUGGGGAGCAAACAGGAUUAGAUACCCUUGUAGUC
This 465-nucleotide ribosomal RNA is filed under the name uncultured bacterium. RNAcentral describes it as "bacterial SSU rRNA". It matches the Rfam family "Bacterial small subunit ribosomal RNA", at positions 338 to 795 of the family's 1533-position model. The record is from RNAcentral.